This is a non-coding RNA of Microcebus murinus (gray mouse lemur), 2188 nucleotides long. NCBI's taxonomy places the organism in Eukaryota, Metazoa, Chordata, Mammalia, Primates, Cheirogaleidae. The record is from RefSeq and is a predicted model, not a curated record.
AGGGGCUGUUCCUUGGGACACUGGCUGUGUGAGCAGGAGGGGCGGGGGAGAGGCCGGGUGUAAUGUGUUUUCUUGGGAAGGCCGCUUGUUCGGAAGUCUGAGAAGCUGUGAAAAUAGUUGUACAUGCAGUUCCCUCCCCGUAGCCUCUGGACAGGGUUCGGGAUGGGAACAAGAAAGAUGAAGUCAGCUCCCAGUAGGAGGGCCUCUGGCUCGGCCUGUUCCCGCUGCCAGGAACUGCAAACAAGGUUUUCAUUCAUCCAUCCUUGAGAAAGGCAUUGAGGACCUACUGUGUGCUGCUCACCGUCGGAGCCGGGCGGAUGGAAGACACAACACCUGCCCCACCCCCUCGGAACCGGAAAUACUCAACACGAGCGUGGGAAGUUGGGAUUUGGGUUAAGUGUGCCGAGGACACAGCCAGGAAGCUGGGAUGAGACGAAUGCAGGGAGGAGGCUACUUAGAGGAGCAAUCCAGGAGGACCUCUCCGUGGAGGUGACUUUUAGACAAGACAAGGAGGAGGAGAAGGAUCCGCCGGGAAGGGCAGGAGCAGGUGGCUGGAACUAAGGCAGGGGUGGCCCACGCCAGGCAGAGGGACUGUCUGGAUCUCAGUGCCCACCAGGGGCCUCUUCCCGUGCAUUUUACAGAAUUCCUGGACAGCUGACUCAAAUGAGAGGACUUAUAAAGAAGAGUCAUCGUUGCCACCAGCCUGAGUUGAGCAAAGCUGCUGGACCCUGCCAGAAAACCCCCGUUUCCAACUCACAGGGGGCCCCGCAGAACUGUCAGGCCGGCGCUGGUGAAAACAAAUUAGUCAGGAGCAGCAACACCUGCAGGACCCGGAGCCAGCUCUCCCGGCCAGGGAGUUGGAGAACCACAGGGUGUAAUUCCGUCUGAGUCCAACGGCCCUAGAACCAAGGGAGCCCAGAGUGUCAAUCCCAGUCCAAGAGCAGGAAAGGACAAGUUCAGCAAGACAAACAGGACAGAAUCCCAGGGACUGUGCUCAUGAUGUGUGUCUUAGUCUAUUUGGGCUGCUCUAACAAAACACCUGAGACUGAGUAAUAUAUAAACGACGGAAAUGUAUUGCCCUCGGUUCUGGAGGCUGGGAAGUCCAAGAUCAAGGCGCUGGUGGAUUCCAUGUCUGGUGAGGACCUGCUCUCUGCUUCCUGGAUGGCGCCUCCUUGCUCUGUCCCCAUGUGGCGAGACAGGCCCGGCAUGCUGAUGCUCGUGGACAGACAGGGGAUCCAAGGCCCUUGCCCCGCCAGCCCCAGGCCCAGAACUGCCGAUCGGCCAGAUAUGUCUGAGUGAACAGGAGCAGCUCUCCGAGGCCUCGGCCCAGCGGGCGGCCAGGGAAGACUGACGCAGGUGGACACACGGCCAGGAGCAGAGCCAGAAGCUCCUGGUACUCCCGGCCCCGGCGCUGAGCUGGGCUGGCUGAUUGGCAGGGACACUCAGGGUCACUGGCCGGCUGGACCUCAGGGGUGCCCAGGGCAGAUCAAAGGCGGAUGGUGCCCAGGUGCUGGAAACCACGGUUGAAAAGGAAUUCGGGGGUGGGGCUUCCUUCCCUGGGCUGGACAUUUUCCAGAUUUUCCAGGACAGCCCUGGCCUGGGUUGAGCUUUCGUGAAUACCCAGGAGGUCAAAGAGAAGGCAGCUCUGGGCUCAAACUGUGGCUCCGUUCGCUGUGGGGGGCCCUGUCCUUCUCCCUUCUCAACGCCAUGUCCCCAAAGUGCAUUCUACCCAAAUGAUGACACCAGGCCCGGGACUUGCGUUUCCCUAGCCCGUGAUUGGCUCACCAGCGGCCAGGUGAUCCAGUGGUAGUAAAGCCCGCUGGGCCUUCUGGGAAUGCUCCCCUUGUCCUGAGGAGGGACAAGGUGGACCCCAAGGCUGUCAGAUGCAAGUUAGAAAGAACUCACGAUGUUGACGAUGACGCUGCACCCACGGCUGUAUCACAAAGGAAACCCAAUCCUCGGGUUUCCUGUUAUGUGAAGUCAGGACCUUUCUCUUGUUUAAAGCACCGGGAGCCUGCCUGGGUUGUGCCACCUGUAACUUGCAGCCUAAAGCAUCCUAAGUGACAGACUAGCGCGGUAUUUCCCUUCUCCAAGCGUCGACAGAGAUCGCAAUGCCUACGCCCGGCGUCGCUGUGAGGAGUCACGACGUGAUGUGUGUCGCACUCGGUAAACAUCAUUGUAAUUGUCA